GCCUCUGUGGCCUAAUGGAUAAGGCAUCGGUCUCCUAAAAAAAUUGACCAUGGUUUAUUUAGUUAACCGGGGAUUGCGGGUUCGAGUCCCGCCAGAGGCC
RNAcentral lists this transfer RNA (100 nucleotides) under Euroglyphus maynei. It matches the Rfam family "tRNA". From Rfam's summary of the family: Transfer RNA (tRNA) molecules are approximately 80 nucleotides in length. Lineage: Eukaryota; Metazoa; Arthropoda; Arachnida; Sarcoptiformes; Pyroglyphidae. The record is from Rfam by way of RNAcentral.